AUUUCAGCUCCCGUUCAGAUAAACCGCGUGCUUUGCUUGAAGUGCAUAAACAUUGAACGUGUGUAGGCUGAGAAUGCAGUUGCUGUUUUUAAACGAAGGUUUUUAUAUAGCCUAACUUUGAUAUUAACCAUUUGAUCAUGACACCUUAAGAAAGCAGCAGCCGCCAAAGAAGUAGCGGCUAUUUGGUUAGAUUACGGUUGGUUGAUACAUUUGUCAAUUUCAUUGUUAGAAUCCAGCAAAGCACCUGCUGUGGCACGAAAAACUCCUCUUCAUCCACCCACGAUGGUGUUGGUUAAUGAAGCGCUGAAGGAGUUGGACUCUCGAUUCGUCUCUCAUCUCAGGCCAUCCGUGGCGACAAAACAGGGAAAUAUCCAUCUGUGGACCUGAUGAGGUUGAAGUACAUGACACGCAAGACCCUGAAAAUAGGAAUCGAGGGCGGGGUAUUGGUGAGGACAUCAACUCGAUAGCAAACGGCGGACAGGGGAGGUUUCGGCUGGCAGUCAAGGGUAGGGUCAAGGAGCCAAAGGCCACUGAGAACACUGAUCCCAAUGUGGAGAAGGCUCCAAAGGCUGCCAAGGUUGGAGCCAAGAAGACUAAGGACAAGGAAGCCGGAUGAAAACUCAGGAAGUCCGCAAAAGCAUCUGCUUCCAAGGUGGCCCCUGCUAAGAAGCCCAAGUCAAAGAGGACAAAGGGGCAGAGAGGACAGCUGAGGAUCAACCCAAAGGACAGAAGACUACCAAGGGUGAAGGGGCAGCCAAGAAGGGUGCAAAGGCCAAAGCUUUCCAGAAGCCUGCAGAGGGUGAUGAAGGGGACACUGCUGCUCCUGAAGCUAAAACCACAGGGAAAUGAGACACGAGGGCAGCAGCAGAGUGACUGCACUCCUUUUAUCCACAUUGUAUGUUUUUAAAUAAAGCAGUUUUUUGUACUA
Oncorhynchus kisutch (coho salmon) is the source of this 928-nucleotide long non-coding RNA. RefSeq lists it as uncharacterized. NCBI's taxonomy places the organism in Eukaryota, Metazoa, Chordata, Actinopteri, Salmoniformes, Salmonidae. The transcript has 3 exons. The record is from RefSeq and is a predicted model, not a curated record.